CAGGGAGACAACAAAAUGUUUAAUAUUAUUAUUUUGUCACCUUAGGUCGAUCGGUAUCUCACAUUCUUAAUUUAUUAAGGAUUUUAUUUCCUAAGUUUUUUCUAGGUCACACCCAUUACUUUUCCUGGGCCAUUAGCUCAGGUGGUUAGAGCGCACCCCUGAUAAGGGUGAGGUCCCUGGUUCAAGUCCAGGAUGGCCCAUAUCUCUAUGUUGGGGGUAUAGCUCAGUUGGUAGAGCGCCUGCUUUGCAAGCAGGAUGUCAGCGGUUCGAGUCCGCUUACCUCCACUGAUUACCACCUCUUCCAUAAUUAUUUAAGGAAAUGUUUUGAGUAGUGAUCAAAUUCUGAACGAAUCUAGCUUCCUAAUGAAUUCAUUAAGAUGCUGGACUCAUUGAAUUAUUUUCAUUGUUUUCAGAGAACCUUGACAACUGCAUAGAUUAUUUUUAAAGACAAUAAGCAUCUUUAUGAUGCAGAUUUAUUAUUUGUGCGAAUGCAUUAAUAACAAUUCUAUUAAGCUGAUGCUUCAAUUAUGAAGUUAUU
Molecule: transfer RNA, 538 nt
Filed under: uncultured Prochlorococcus sp.
Lineage: Bacteria; Bacillati; Cyanobacteriota; Cyanophyceae; Synechococcales; Prochlorococcaceae
Description: partial 16S-23S ribosomal RNA intergenic spacer
Rfam family: tRNA (bases 213-285)
Source: RNAcentral